CAGCCGCCACGGUAAUACGUAGGGUGCAAGCGUUAAUCGGAAUUACUGGGCGUAAAGCGUGCGCAGGCGGUUUCGUAAGACAGAUGUGAAAUCCCCGGGCUUAACCUGGGAACUGCAUUUGUGACUGCGAGGCUAGAGUGUGUCAGAGGGGGGUGGAAUUCCACGUGUAGCAGUGAAAUGCGUAGAUAUGUGGAGGAACACCGAUGGCGAAGGCAGCCCCCUGGGAUAACACUGACGCUCAUGCACGAAAGCGUGGGGAGCAAACAGGAUUAGAUACCCCCGUAGUCCCUGUCUCUUAUAC
RNAcentral lists this ribosomal RNA (301 nucleotides) under uncultured bacterium. RNAcentral describes it as "partial 16S ribosomal RNA". It matches the Rfam family "Bacterial small subunit ribosomal RNA", at positions 509 to 807 of the family's 1533-position model. The record is from RNAcentral.